UUUUCAAGGAAGAAGCAAGUGACGGUACUUGAAGAAUCAGCAUCGGCUAACUCCGUGCCAGCAGCCGCGGUAAUACGGAGGAUGCAAGCGUUAUCCGGAAUCAUUGGGCGUAAAGCGUCCGCAGGUGGCGUAUCAAGUCUGCUGUCAAAGACAGAAGCUCAACUUCUGGCAGGCAGUGGAAACUGGUAAGCUAGAGUACGGUAGGGGUUGAGGGAAUUCCCAGUGUAGCGGUGAAAUGCGUAGAUAUUGGGAAGAACACCAGUGGCGAAGGCGCUCAGCUGGGCCGUAACUGACACUGAGGGACGAAAGCUAGGGGAGCGAAAGGGAUUAGAUACCCCUGUAGUC
This 345-nucleotide ribosomal RNA is filed under the name Stanieria sp. AL8. Its description in RNAcentral is "bacterial SSU rRNA". It matches the Rfam family "Bacterial small subunit ribosomal RNA", at positions 434 to 795 of the family's 1533-position model. Lineage: Bacteria; Bacillati; Cyanobacteriota; Cyanophyceae; Pleurocapsales; Dermocarpellaceae. The record is from RNAcentral.